This 443-nucleotide ribosomal RNA is filed under the name uncultured bacterium. Its description in RNAcentral is "partial 16S ribosomal RNA". It matches the Rfam family "Bacterial small subunit ribosomal RNA", at positions 338 to 795 of the family's 1533-position model. The record is from RNAcentral.
CCUACGGGUGGCAGCAGUGGGGAAUAUUGGGCAAUGGGCGCAAGCCUGACCCAGCAACGCCGCGUGAAGGAAGAAGGCUUUCGGGUUGUAAACUUCUUUUGUCAGGGACGAAACAAGUGACGGUACCUGACGAAUAAGCCACGGCUAAAUACGUACCAGCAGCAGCGGUAAUACGUAGGUGGCAAGCGUUAUGCGGAUUUACUGGGUGUACAGGGCGUGUAGGCGGGACUGCAAGUCAGAUGUGAAAAACACGGGGGCAACCUGUGGCCUGCCUUUGAAACUGUAGUUAUUGAGUACUGGAGAGGCAGACGGAAUUCGUAGUGUAGCGGUGAAAUGCGUAGAUAUUAGGAGGAACACCAGUGGCGAAGGCGGUCUGCUGGACAGCAACUGACGCUGAGGCGCGAAAGCGUGGGUAGCAAACAGGAUUAGAUACCCGGGUAGUC